RNAcentral lists this ribosomal RNA (809 nucleotides) under uncultured Bacillus sp. Its description in RNAcentral is "bacterial SSU rRNA". It matches the Rfam family "Bacterial small subunit ribosomal RNA", at positions 8 to 796 of the family's 1533-position model. The record is from RNAcentral. Lineage: Bacteria; Bacillati; Bacillota; Bacilli; Caryophanales; Bacillaceae.
AGAGUUUGAUCCUGGCUCAGGACGAACGCUGGCGGCGUGCCUAAUACAUGCAAGUCGAGCGGAGUUUUGAAAAGCUUGCUUUUCAAAACUUAGCGGCGGACGGGUGAGUAACACGUGGGCAACCUGCCCUUGAGACGGGGAUAACUCCGGGAAACCGGAGCUAAUACCGGAUAACACAUAUCUUCGCAUGAGGAUAUGUUAGAAGGUGGCUUUUAGCUACCACUCAAGGAUGGGCCCGCGGCGCAUUAGCUAGUUGGUGAGGUAACGGCUCACCAAGGCGACGAUGCGUAGCCGACCUGAGAGGGUGAUCGGCCACACUGGGACUGAGACACGGCCCAGACUCCUACGGGAGGCAGCAGUAGGGAAUCUUCCGCAAUGGACGAAAGUCUGACGGAGCAACGCCGCGUGAGUGAUGAAGGUUUUCGGAUCGUAAAGCUCUGUUGUUAGGGAAGAACAAGUACCUGUUAAAUAAGCAGGUACCUUGACGGUACCUAACCAGAAAGCCACGGCUAACUACGUGCCAGCAGCCGCGGUAAUACGUAGGUGGCAAGCGUUGUCCGGAAUUAUUGGGCGUAAAGCGCGCGCAGGCGGUUCCUUAAGUCUGAUGUGAAAGCCCACGGCUCAACCGUGGAGGGUCAUUGGAAACUGGGGAACUUGAGUGCAGAAGAGGAGAGCGGAAUUCCACGUGUAGCGGUGAAAUGCGUAGAGAUGUGGAGGAACACCAGUGGCGAAGGCGGCUCUCUGGUCUGUAACUGACGCUGAGGCGCGAAAGCGUGGGGAGCGAACAGGAUUAGAUACCCCAGUAGUCC